Molecule: ribosomal RNA, 85 nt
Filed under: Salamandra algira tingitana
Lineage: Eukaryota; Metazoa; Chordata; Amphibia; Caudata; Salamandridae
Description: partial 16S ribosomal RNA
Source: RNAcentral
GUUAUAAUUCUAGCCACCCGUUUAACCAAUAAUUCUACUAACAAUUAAAAUAAAUCAUUUAAUCAUGGAAGUAUAGGCGAUAGAA